RNAcentral lists this long non-coding RNA (1522 nucleotides) under Felis catus (domestic cat). RNAcentral's name for it is "lncRNA (ENSFCAG00000048575.1)". The record is from RNAcentral. Lineage: Eukaryota; Metazoa; Chordata; Mammalia; Carnivora; Felidae.
UUAUUUUAUCUAGCUUAGUAGGGGGAAGAAAUAUGUAUUUCCUUUUCCCUUUUUCUCUUUUGCUUUUUUUGGUUGUUGUUUUGCUUUGUUUUGUUUUAAUAUUUCUAGUCACCUGUCUUUCUCUGCCUCAGUCAUAUAUGAGCAAUUUGCAGUUUGUUUGGAUUUUGGCUCACACGCAGGCAGUUUUGAACCAUUGUCCCUAGUAUUUGUGAUGUCACUUUGGUUUGUGAUGUGGAUCUGGGUGGGUGUUACAUCAUCAGAUUUUAUAGUUAAAUUAGGCUGGAAGGAGUUCUAUUUUGUUGUGCUUGCAGCCUCAGGAACUUGUGAAGCUCUCAUUCCCCCCACCCCCCACCCCUCCCCGAAGGGCUUGGGUGAAUUAGUAAGAUCCUAACGUUCUUAAGAAGCAUGCUUUGCACGCAACUUAGUCAAAUACACAGACCAUAUUUGUGGAUCCAGGUAGGGAGAUAGAUCCUUACAUGUGCAAAAGUGGCCUUCUCCAUGCACAUAAAGAAGGUACUGUUACAUUCUCCAAAGAGCUGCCAAGGUUAGGGACCAGAAAUGAAAGAACACGUUCCUGCAACCCUGGGCACCUCUCCCUACAUUUCUCUCCCCGGGAGACUACACGGUUUCUGGAAUGUGGUUUUAUUUUACAUCCCAUGGCAAAUUCAGUAAUUAGAGCUGUUAGCGGUGUCAAGGGCUUGAAACAGGAACAAAGACACCUCUUCCUGGUAACUGUUGGGCAAUGCCUCACUCCUUAUCAGGUGCUCGUCCCGCUGGUGAUUUUGAGUUUUUAUACACCAAAUGCCAAAGGAGGCUCCCUCCUGAGGGGGAGGAGAGAAAUGAUGGAAAAACAGAGUAUGCGUCUGGCAGGAGCUCCUGGAAUCGCAUGUGUUGCCUGUUUCAUUUUUCUGAGUGUUGUCCCUGGAGUGAAUCAAAGUCUGCAGGCAGACCGCACCGCAGGCCGCGGUGGAACCACCUCCAGGCCAAAGGCAUCUGGACCCACAGACGCUUGGGAGGACAAUGGGGCCCAUUCAGUGGUGAGCCCUGGCCUCACCUCCCGAGAGGCCUCUGCUCAAUGGCCAAGUGACAGUGCUCUGACUCUGAGGAGCGUGCUGAAUCUCCUUCUGCUGGCAUAGAGCUGUUCACAUGGACAGCAGCUGAUACACACUCCAACUCCCAUCAAAUUCUGCCUCCUCUGCCUUCAGCGGAACUCACUUCCGUUGGCUCUUCCCCAGUAGGUAACCUCCAGGCUCCUUAGAACUAACCGAGGGUGAUGCGGCCUGAGCUAUUUCUCCUAUGUCAGUAAGCUUUGUAUUUAUUGAAUGCUUGCCACAGGUCGGGCACUGUUCUAGGCACUUCACAAGCAUGAUCUCACGAAAUGCUACCAACAAUCUUAUGAGUUUGGGCACUGUGGCCAUCCCUACUUUACAGAUGAAGAAACUGAGGCACGAGCUGCUCAAGAUCCAUGCCCCAGAUCCCAAUGCUGGUAACCAAUAAAGGCCGGACUCAACCAAGGUCUACA